RNAcentral lists this unclassified non-coding RNA (20 nucleotides) under Chlamydomonas reinhardtii. RNAcentral describes it as "small RNA Cre_2029". Lineage: Eukaryota; Viridiplantae; Chlorophyta; Chlorophyceae; Chlamydomonadales; Chlamydomonadaceae. The record is from RNAcentral.
GUGCCAAAGUCAAGGCAGCU